RNAcentral lists this long non-coding RNA (283 nucleotides) under Physcomitrium patens. RNAcentral describes it as "long non-coding RNA (PPAT_LNC007681)". The record is from RNAcentral. Lineage: Eukaryota; Viridiplantae; Streptophyta; Bryopsida; Funariales; Funariaceae.
AUCACAAAUAUAUCUUAAAUAAAUCUUAAUUAAAUAUUAAUUUAAUCCUAAUUAAAAUCCUAAUAGACUUUAAUCAAAUCCUAACUAAAUUCUAAAAUUUAAAUCAAAUCCUAAAUAAAUCCUAAACUCAUAAUCAAACCCUAGAUAAAUCCUAAAUUCUUAAUCAAACCUUAAUCAAAUCCUAAUAAAAUCCUAGAAAAAUUCCAAAUCCUAAUAAAAUCCUAACCAAAUCUAACCCUUAAAUCUUAAUCCAAAUCCUAAUCAAAUUCUAAAUAAAUCCUAG